Molecule: non-coding RNA, 657 nt
Organism: Lolium perenne
Lineage: Eukaryota; Viridiplantae; Streptophyta; Magnoliopsida; Poales; Poaceae
Source: RefSeq, a predicted model, not a curated record
AUUCGAUAACCUCAGAUGGACGCUGCCUCCAUCCGCUCCGCGAGUUCCACUCUGCGGACACGACAUGGCGCGGAUGGCUACUGCAAUCUGGUCUGGUGAAUCUUUGUCUCAUGCCAUCGGCGCUCGCUGAAUGAGGCCACCGCCGAGGCCAACCGUCUUAGCCGCGUCCCGAGCCAGAUCCCCGCGUCGUCGCUUCCAAGCCAGAACUGCCGCCGAGGAUGGAGCCGAAGCUCGACACAGCCUACGUCGUCUUCGCCCUCCUAUAACAUUGCACGCCAUUUUCGCCUCGCUACAGCCGCCCAAGCCAGUCGACGCUGCCGGCCGCCUACCUGACCAACCAGGUCACCCAGGAUCAUGUAGAAGAGCGCCGAUUCUCCGUGCCAGUGCAUUGCCUGCACGCAACAACUCGGUGCGGGGAGGUGCCUAGGCCGGAUUUCAGUAGGUGUUAUAUUCCAACUCCCAAGGAAGUAAGAACAUGAUAACAAGAAUUCCAGCCCUUCCUUGUUCAGUUGUUCUUCUAUUGAUCGGAAUGGUGCUGUGCUUGGUGUAUAUGUGAAAAGGUGGCAUCAAUUUGUCUGAGAAGAAAUUGUCCUAUCUUGUUUGGAUCAUGUACAAUUAUGAGAUGGAAUUGUUCAGUAAUGUACUUGGUUCUAUUCA